RNAcentral lists this long non-coding RNA (1183 nucleotides) under Equus asinus (donkey). RNAcentral's name for it is "lncRNA (ENSEASG00005031206.1)". Lineage: Eukaryota; Metazoa; Chordata; Mammalia; Perissodactyla; Equidae. The record is from RNAcentral.
UAUCUUAGGUAAAGAAGAGAGAAAAUGAAAAUACCUUGGGGGACUGCGGAGUUCAAUACCAGAAAAAGAACUAUUGUUUUCCACUGUUACCAUCAUCAUUAUUUCUAAAGAAGCUCCACUAGAGCCGGGAUUUCUACCAGAAAGAUUGCUCUGGCUGCGGUGUCUCCACACUGUUGGGGAUCAAAACAAGAGGAAGACCAGUUAGGAGUCUAUCGCAGGAAUCCAGGGAACCACGAAAGUGAAGCUGUGAAAACCCUGAAUGCUGAAGAGUGUGGAGAAUCCCAGACGAUGAAGAACCAGAGAAUCUCGAAGCUCUGUCUACCUACACCUCUGACUCAUGUAUGUGCAGAACAGACUCAGAUUAAAAACACAACGUUGAGGUGAGCCUGGAACUGUUGCCCAAGGAACAGGGUUUGAAGUUCAGGUCUAGCUAGACUAAUUAGCUGUUGAAGGAAACAACACUCACUGGAGAAAACUGGCAGAAUUCUGAAUCUUCACCAAUUAACAUUAGUAACGUUGAAGAUAUGAUCGAAAAGUACUCAACAUACCAAGUACCAAGAAUAUGGAAGACGUUCCCCAAAGAAAGUAAAAUCUACUGAGUCCCACUCCAAGAUGAACCGGAUGCUGGAAUUAACAGACUAGGAUUUUAAAGUGAUUAAAAUAUUUAUUCUCUACAAAGUAAAGUAUAACAUGUUUUCAGUGAAUAAAAUUUCAGCAGAGAAAUAGACACAAUAAGAAAAUAAUCAAUGGAAAUUCUAGAACUUAAUAUAAUUUCUAAAAUAAAAAUAUUAACUGGAUGCGCUUAUGGCUGAGUUAAUAUGACAGGAAAGUAAGCGAUGUUGAAGAUCGAUCAAUAGAAAUUAUCCAAGGUGAGGAACAGAGAGAAAAAAGAUUGAAAACGAUGAACACAAUCUUAGUGAGCUGUGAGACAAUAUCAAAGCGUCCAACGUAACAAAAACGGGAAACUAAAAAGAGAAAAGAGAUUGGAGCAAAAAUAUUUUAAGACAUACCAACAAUUUUCCCAAGUUUUAUGAAAGAAAUUUUAUCGAUAGAAGAUGUUUAACAAACACUAAGCUGAAUGAGGACAAAUAUGCCUAUAUUGAGGCAUAUUAGAGUCAAACUGUUGAAAGCCAAAGAUAAAGAGCAAAUCUUGAAAGAAGAGAAAAUGACACGUUACAUACAG